UCAAAAACAAGCAAGAAUUUGAAACAGUGCCAAUAUAUUCAAAAUCAGCACGAACAUAAACGAGAAUAAGGAAUCUGAAACCUGGAAAAACCAAAAGAUCAAAGAGAAACCAAAAAAUGAAGAACAAAAUCAAUUAAUUACCAGCAUAUGAGACUUCAUGUAAAUAAUGCUACAAUUUUUACCAUAAUUAUACAAAAAUCAGAUAAUACACCUCCAAACAAUCAUAUUCACGUAUAAAAUCCCAAGCUUAAAAAAAUUCGACAGUUCAGCUGUAAAUCUAUAAAAAUAUCCAACUUUCUUUUGGUGAUAUCUCAAAUUUUGACACCCACAAACAGAUCAUCAGACAAUUAAGCAAACCAAAAAAAACCCAGAAAGAAAAUUAACUGCAUCAAUUAUAGCACAAUAAAGAGAACUAAAAAAGUUACCAAAUUGAACCAAAAAACCGGCCAGACUACAAGGUACAAGACAAGUACAGGGCUUUUGUUGCAGCAGCUUUCUCUUACACUUAAAAUAUAAAAACCCAACAAGAAAGAUCAGACCUUUCCGGACUCUCUUUCUCUCUCUCUCUCUCUCUGUGAUGGAGGUGAGGUGUUGGUCUUAGAAGUUCUCUGGCUUUCUCUUUUUUGUAGGAAC
This 633-nucleotide long non-coding RNA is filed under the name Panax ginseng (ginseng). RNAcentral describes it as "long non-coding RNA (PGIN_LNC005591)". Lineage: Eukaryota; Viridiplantae; Streptophyta; Magnoliopsida; Apiales; Araliaceae. The record is from RNAcentral.